GUGAAAAAGACCAUCUUGUGCCCUACCCCCCACCCCCUCAGCUCCUGCAGCACAAGUGCCCAGCACACCACUGUUUGUGGGAUGCACUCCACACAGGCAUCUCACCUACAGCUACAGGCUGGGAGGGAACCCCUGCACCAACAGCCCGGGUCAUGGCAUCCUCUAGUAUUACUAUUCCAAAACCCUCAAAGAUAAGCCACUCUUACCCUACAUGAGGUACAGCAGAAAUGUCUGGGCCAGAGUCAAGGCUUCCAAUACGGACCUGAAAUUGAUGGAAAUUGGCAAGAUUAUUGGUGGAAUGUGGGGAGUUGUCACUGAUGAAGAAAAACAAGAAUAUUUAAAUGAAUAUGAGGUAACAAAGAUAGAGUACAAUGACUCUAUGAAGGUCUAUCAUAAUUCCCCCACACAUUUUGCUUACAUAAAUGCAAAAAAGCUGCUUUAGAGGAAAGAAUUUGACAGAGGCCGUCUCACAUGGAGAAAGGAGA
This 485-nucleotide long non-coding RNA is filed under the name Homo sapiens (human). Its description in RNAcentral is "non-protein coding lnc-LBX1-5:1". The record is from RNAcentral. Lineage: Eukaryota; Metazoa; Chordata; Mammalia; Primates; Hominidae.